RNAcentral lists this unclassified non-coding RNA (345 nucleotides) under Hevea brasiliensis (rubber tree). The record is from RNAcentral. Lineage: Eukaryota; Viridiplantae; Streptophyta; Magnoliopsida; Malpighiales; Euphorbiaceae.
GAAGCAAAUGAUUCAAAAGCAAUAAACCCUCUGCAAUUAACACAUGCUUACUACUAUCCACCGUCGAAAUCCUUGAAAUUGCCGCAACAGUCUUCUCUUUCAUCUCCUGGGAGCUCGAAUCGAGUAAACGAACAAGUAUGGGAACAACACCCUGUGCAACAGCUAUCAUUACAUUCUUAUCAUUCUCCUGGAGCAUCCCGAGCAGUGAUUCCAUGGCGGAAUUCUUCGACUCGCAACUACCAAUCUGCAAUCGGGUGAUUAAGUUCCUCGACUCGGCCCUCACUGCCUCCAUCUUAGAAGAGACCCCUGAAACGACAGAGUCUUGAAGAACCCCACUUUUAAUCA